UCCAGACUCCUACGGGAGGCAGCAGUGGGGAAUAUUGGACAAUGGGGGGAACCCUGAUCCAGCGACGCCGCGUGAGUGAAGAAGUAUUUCGGUAUGUAAAGCUCUAUCAGCAGGGAAGAGAGAAAUGACGGUACCUGACUAAGAAGCCCCGGCUAACUACGUGCCAGCAGCCGCGGUAAUACGUAGGGGGCAAGCGUUAUCCGGAUUUACUGGGUGUAAAGGGAGCGCAGACGGCGAUGCAAGCCAGGAGUGAAAGCCCGGGGCCCAACCCCGGGACUGCUCUUGGAACUGCGUGGCUAGAGUGCAGGAGGGGCAGGCGGAAUUCCUGGUGUAGCGGUGAAAUGCGUAGAUAUCAGGAGGAACACCGGCGGCGAAGGCGGCCUGCUGGACCGCUACUGACGUUGAGGCUCGAAAGCGUGGGGAGCGAACAGGAUUAGAUACCCCAGUA
This 448-nucleotide ribosomal RNA is filed under the name uncultured bacterium. Its description in RNAcentral is "partial 16S ribosomal RNA". It matches the Rfam family "Bacterial small subunit ribosomal RNA", at positions 330 to 792 of the family's 1533-position model. The record is from RNAcentral.